GAAUCGCGAUAAGUAAUGUGAAUUGCAGAUUUCCAGUGAAUCAUCGAAUCUUUGAACGCACUUUGCGCUCCUUGGUACUCCGAGGAGCAUGCCUGUUUGAGUGUCAUGUUUACUCUCAACCAUGUCUUCGAUUCAUUUCGAGGCAUGGCUUGGAUUUGGGAGCUUGCCGGCCUUGUGGUCGACUCUCCUUAAAUGCAUUAGCGAAUGGGACGCGUCAGUGGGUCCGGCGGGCAAUCGAUAGCCUUUCGACGUGAUAAAGAUCAUAUAUCGGAGUCGAGGCUCGCGCGUCGGGUGUAAGACAUGUUCUCUUUUUGCUUCCAAUCCCCAACCUGCUUUAGCUAGUAGUCGGUCGAUCGACCUUCGAACGCAAAGAGCAGACCAUCGACCACUUUGACCUCAAAUCAGGUAGGACUACCCGCUGAACUUAA
Molecule: ribosomal RNA, 428 nt
Filed under: Xerocomus sp. 125-250
Lineage: Eukaryota; Fungi; Basidiomycota; Agaricomycetes; Boletales; Boletaceae
Description: eukaryotic LSU rRNA
Rfam family: 5.8S ribosomal RNA (bases 1-106)
Source: RNAcentral